RNAcentral lists this ribosomal RNA (442 nucleotides) under uncultured bacterium. RNAcentral's name for it is "partial 16S ribosomal RNA". It matches the Rfam family "Bacterial small subunit ribosomal RNA", at positions 338 to 795 of the family's 1533-position model. The record is from RNAcentral.
CCUACGGGAGGCAGCAGUGGGGAAUAUUGGGCAAUGGGCGAAAGCCUGACCCAGCAACGCCGCGUGAAGGAAGAAGGCUUUCGGGUUGUAAACUUCUUUUGACAGGGAAGAGCAGAAGACGGUACCUGUCUAAUAAGCCACGGCUAACUACGUGCCAGCAGCCGCGGUAAUACGUCGGUGGCAAGCGUUAUCCGGAUUUACUGGGUGUAAAGGGAGCGUAGACGGCGGCGCAAGUCUGGAGUGAAAGGCCGGGGCCGAACCCCGGGACUGCACUGGACACUAGUGAACGUGAGUGCAGGAGAGGUGAGCGGAAUUCCUAGUGUAGCGGUGAAAUGCGUAGAUAUUAGGAGGAACACCAGUGGCGAAGGCGGCUUACUGGACUGUAACUGACGUUGAGGCUCGAAAGCGUGGGGAGCAAACAGGAUUAGAUACCCGGGUAGUC